GCCAUCUGGGAAAUGUAAACAGGAUCAGAAGGUAGCUGGGCAGGGGAAGGAUGAGAGGGAGGGAAAAGUGUGCUAAAGGAGAAACUGAGAUCAGAGCAGGGGAAAACUGGAAGUAGCUGGCUGGGUAAAGAUCUGAGGGCACACAGCUGAUGAGAAGAUAAGUCUGAAGACUGCUUGUAUCCUAUGUGUGGGAACGCAGGAAAGAGAGGUAUGGCAACAUAAAUAGGCAGAAGGUCAGCAAAAUUUAUCACAGAGUGGCAAGAAUGAGUAGAUAAGAAACUACAAAAUAGAAUGUGAAUUCAAAUAGUCUGGACAAUGAGACUGACUGAGGAAAAGUAACUCUAUGUAUAGAAGGACUGAGAACCCAGAUGUGUUAGACAAGGAGAGAAACAUGCUGGGAUCAGUAAGUUUCUUGAGAAACAUGAAAUUGGGAUGCUGAGUCAACAGGAGGGAAGCGAAAUGGCUUCGUUUGGAUCACAAGCAGAAUAUCCCUUCAGCCACCAAGUAACUCAAACCCUUGGUAAAACCAACUCCUUGCUAAAUUCAUCACAAGCCACAGGUACAAAAACAAGAAGUCAACGCAGCAUGGCUCUCACAGCAAUCUUCUUGUGGCAACACUUCACAACACAGAGCAAGCCUCUCCCAGCUGAAGAACAAAAACUUAUCGUCACAGAAGCAGAAACAAAGCAUUAUGCAUACCUUGCUGCUUCCGUUGCCUCAGCAGGUUUCCAGGAAUGGGAACAGCUGGAGAAACUGAAUGUUAUGCUUCAUUGA
This 774-nucleotide long non-coding RNA is filed under the name Chrysolophus pictus (golden pheasant). RNAcentral's name for it is "lncRNA (ENSCPIG00010008922.1)". The record is from RNAcentral. Lineage: Eukaryota; Metazoa; Chordata; Aves; Galliformes; Phasianidae.